Molecule: transfer RNA, 73 nt
Filed under: Artediellus pacificus
Lineage: Eukaryota; Metazoa; Chordata; Actinopteri; Perciformes; Cottidae
Description: tRNA-Asn
Source: RNAcentral
UAGGUGGAUGCUCUCUGGUUUGAGCACUUAGCUGUUAACUAAGAAUUUGUAGGAUCGAGGCCUACCCACCUAG